AUACAGGGCGGUGUCGACUUAUGACUGCGGGUCCUAAAGUGAAAGCGCAUCAAAAUAUGAGAAAACGAUGCCGAGGGCGGUUGAGUCCCCGUAGGCACAGCCCUGGAGUGCAGCCACUCCGACAGGCGUCGCCCGCCGGGAAUCCCCGGACAGCUGGCCGGCGCAGGGCGUCCAGGAGGAGGGCGCGACUCUACUUUUCAGCAGAGCCACCGAGUAGCUGCUCGUCGGGGACCGCCACCGCCGCUGGCCUCCCGCCCUCCACUGCCGGACGCUGGCGACCGCUGAGGUCAGGAAAACAAUAAAGGAGCCGCGGGAAGAGGACGCCGCCCCCUCCCGCCGCCCCGGAGCUCGCGCGCGCAGAGGCCCUCACCCUACUCUGACUACACCCACAGUCCCUGUCUCACUUCCUAUGUGAAGAUGUACAAGAAACAAAUCAAUAUCCAGUGACAGGACAAGCUGUACAGCGACAAGAAGAGAAAACACGAGGUUAGACAUCUGGGCACUCAGCCUGGUCUCCUGACUCGAUUCUGUGUAUGGGGCAGAAAAUCAGAUUUGGAAUUUGUCUCUACUAGGAUCUUAAAGGAAACUUCGAUAUUAUGGCAUCUGAAUCAGAGAAUGUUUCCUGAACCCCGUAAGCUGGUGGAGAUGAAAACACCUUGCAAACUGCAUGGAAUGUUUCCAUCCUGGCUGUUUCAGUCUGCUCUUCUUCAGCAUCUCCAAAAUGAUUGUUCUGUCAUCUUUUGAGAAACCUUAGCUGUGUAGUCUUGCAGACACCUAUCUUCUGGAGGCCACAUUUCUUCAUCUGUAUAAUGUGCUUAGAACAGAAAUAUUUGGCGAAUGAUGAUUGCCACCAGCCCCCGUCAUGGACUGAGUCACAAUCAGAAGUCAACAGGAGGAGCAACUCCAGAUAGAAAUCAGAAGCAAGAUUAACUGUGAGCCCAACACUCUCUGAACCAGGGUUUAUUCCUGUUGUGUCCCUUCCAGAGACUGGGUAGCAGAGAGUUAAAAACAGCUCUAACCUAUUUUUCAAUGUAAAAAUGAAACCCGCAUCCCGGUAAGGGAGCCGGUGGGGUCAUGUUUGUGAUUGAGGAAUCAGAAGCUGGCCCUCCCGGCCCUCCCACGUACCUGGCCUUAGCCACGCGAUAGGAAGGAUGAGUCUCAGGAAUUACCAGGGUGGGGCGGGAUUAAGUGACCUGCCCAGAAUACAGAUCAGGUGACUGGAUUCUCCUGGAGCUAAUUCCUGUGUCCCAGGGCUGGAGAACAAUCCUUCAAGGACCAUCAUGCCUACUGAGAUGCAAGAACAGCAUUUCUGAACAGGUCAGCAACCAAACCAAAUUCCAAGUUCACAAAGGGAAAAAAAAAACUGGGAUUUAAGGAAGAUGGUGGCUUCCAAGACUUUUGAGAGCAGAACCAAGUAUUUCCUGUUUCAGGAUCAUCAGCAACACGGAAGGGAACCUGACACUGAAUAUCACCUAAUGUCAUAGGAGCCCUAGGUGACCCCAGCAGGUCCUGUGAUCUCUGGGGCCUGGUGAGGUUCCCACCCCAACAGACACCCUAGGUAGAUCAUGUUUUAAUUAUCCUGACUGCAUGUGGCAGGUCUGUGAUGCUGAUAAGCCCUACCAUUGCAAAGUACAGAAUGCCUGUUAUCAUGCAAACAUGUGGACUCUUGCUCCAAUAUGACAUGAAAACUCGAAUGGGAAAAUUUCCCAAAGCCGAAUUGCUAAUCCAGGGCCACAGAUGGAUUGCUAAUUGCCACACUGAAGUGGGGGAACAUUCUAUAAGAUGCAGGGCUCUUUCCAAAGUUGUGAGAGAAUCUGGGAAUGCAUUCAUUUUGGGCCUAAUAAUCUCCUUGGCCCAUGGGAUUCUUCCUCAGACUCCUGUAACUCACCUCUCCAACUCUAGUCAAGCUCUUCCUUAAGCCAGAAGCCACUGGUUCUCAUCCAUCAUGUCAUUUAUCAGAAGAGUUCAUUUACAUUUAAUAACCAGCACCAAUGCCUCAAGUGUUCAGGAGGACUCAGCACGGCAGCCCUCCACCAGCAGGCCCUGUGGACACGACGGGCAAACAAGGAGCAUUGGCUCUGGAGUCAGCGGCACUGACUAGCUGUGACUUUGGCCUUGUUACCUUAUUUCUCUGAGCCUCAACGUUGCCCCAUCUGUAAGAUGGAAAUGAUAACGAUUGCUACCUUACAGCUUCAUCAUAAGUCUUAAAAUGAAAUAAUGCACAUAAAGCCCUGAGCAGAGUGCCUGGCACAUAUUAAUGGACCCUCAGUGUCAGCGACUGUAUUCUUUAGUUGAGCCCAGUUCCCAAACUGUCCUGGCACAUUCAGAGUUCUCACCUGGACAGUCGUGGGUUCUAGAAUAACUUUGACUGCUACCUCUAGAGUAACUGUGACUGGGGUGGAAGUACCAUUGCAGGCUGGGAUCUUGGGGGAUUCGGUAUGGCUGGAGAGCACAGCCAUUGAUACAGUGCCGAAGAAGCAGAAGGGGCCUGCCUUGGAAGAACCCAGGGUUCCAGGUAAGAGGGAUGUGUGGGCUGAUUUUCUGUCACCUUGGCUGGGCUAAGGGAUGCCUGGAUAGCUGGUAAAACAUUAUUUCUUUGGGUGUCUAUGAGGAUGUCUCUGGAAGAGGUUAAUAUUUGAUUCAGUAGCCUAAAUAAAGACCUCCCUCCCCAGCAUGGGCAUCAUCCAAUCCAUUUAGGACCUGAAUAGAACAAAAACAUGGUGGCAGGGUGAAUUCGGUCUCUCUGCUUGAACAGAGACAUCCAUCUUCUCCUGCCCUCAGACACUGGCACCCCUGGUUCUGUGACCUUUGUACUUAGACUGGACUACCACCACUGCCCCUUCACCCCCACCCCAAUCUCAGACCUUUGGACUCAAACUGGAAUGCACCACCAUCUCUCCUGGGUCUCCAGCUUGCAGACAGAUCACGGCACUUCUUGGCCUCUGUAGCCGCGUGAGACAACUCCUAUAACAAAUCUCCUCCCAUCUUAUCUAUAUCUCUGUAUCUUUCAAUAUGUAUACAUAUCUUCUUUGUUUCUCUAGAGAACACUAAUAUAGGGAGAAUCCAAUUUGCUUUCCCAAGUGCACGCUACCCGCUCUCUUCCUGGUCACAAAAACAAACAAACAAAGAAAUAACCAGAAAUGGACUUAGACUGGAGCGGAACCGUGAUGCUUACUUGUCACUUUCAAUCAUCUCUGACUUCUUCAAAAACAUUUCAAUUUCACCUGAAAGCUGGCAGGUCUCCCACCGCCUCCAAGCCCCUCCCCCCAUAUGCAGACUAACAGCAGGGGCAGCUCUAAAAAUAGCCUGCCUUCACCAGACCCCCUAGCACGUAAAUACGUCUUUGUUCCCGCUGGCUUUUAAUAACUGUACUUUACGGUGAAACAAAAGCUGUAAUCAGAGCCCAACAAUGGAAGCCGCAGUCAGCCCUGAACAAUACUCAGAAUUCCCAUGGCGAUUCCCCAGCUGCAGCUGUGAGAACCAGCAGUCUCAGGCGUGAAUUCCAUUCACGGUUAUUCACCUAGUCCCACUGCUGCUCAUGGGGAUCAUGGCUUUCCUGCCUCCUCAGGGGGGCUUGCAAGAGGCUGAAAAGGGAUGCCAGGCCUGGGCCCCUGCCAAGAGCAGGCCAUGCAGGUGUGCACAAGGGGGUUGGCCCUGAGAAGCCAACACAGUGACUUGUGACAGAGCCGGGCUGCCCGGAGGCUGGAGACUGCAGCAGCCAUCGCCGCACCAGCAACUUCAUGCAGGACUUCCUUCAGAUCAAAGAGACCUGCACACUCAUUUCCUCAUCCAGCUCUGCAGUCUGCGCGUUCCAGGAUAAGCCCAGCAGCUGGCGAACCCUGCCAGGUUCGAAGCCUGGAACCUUGGAGAGAGGUCUUUAAGAGGGAGGCAUUACCCGAAGGGGUCCCAAGCUCGGCUGCAUUUGGGGAUCAUUGGGGGUACUUUCUAACAAUUCUUAGGACAAGAUCCCAGCCCCAGACCAACUGAAUUAGAAUCUCUGGCAAUGAGAAAGUGACAUUGGUAUUUUUUUCUUUUCUAUUUUUGUUUUGUUUUGAAGGAUAACUUAAAUUUGGUGUAAUUGCCUAAACCAUAUCCUUCCACAACCCCUAUGUUGAAGGCCCAUCCUCAAUGUGACUAUAUUCAGAGAUAGGGCCUUCAUGGAGGUAAUUAAAGUUAAAUGAGGUCAUAAGGGCGUGGCCCUGAUGCGAAAGGAUUAGUGUCCAAAUAAGAAGAGACACCAGAGCGCUGGCCCCUCCUCCCCAGCCCAGUGAAGACUCAGAGGAGGCGGCCCCCUGCUAGCCACCACGAGAGCCCUCACCAGGAACUGGGGCACGUUUCCACGUCUGUAAAUCGGACCUCCGGGCCUCCAGAACUGUGAGAAAUACAUUUCUGUUUAAACAA
Long non-coding RNA from Manis javanica (Malayan pangolin), 4401 nucleotides. RefSeq lists it as uncharacterized. NCBI's taxonomy places the organism in Eukaryota, Metazoa, Chordata, Mammalia, Pholidota, Manidae. The record is from RefSeq and is a predicted model, not a curated record.